ACCUUCCACCCUAAAAUCUAAAUUCCUAAUUUCUAAUUUGCCUCAGCAGUCAAAAACAUUCUCUCCGCUCUCGCCUCUCAGUCUCUACUCUCUGAACUUGAGGGUUGAGGCAACAACAACUCAACCACACUAAGGAUUCCACAGAAAGGUCUCAAGGUCUCAACUUGAGUACUACAUGUCUCUGAACUUGAGGCAACAACAACUCAACCAAACAGUUCUUGCGAGUUGCGACACCAACAAGGCAAAAACUCAACGAAAAUCUCAUUCUCUUCUCUAAGCAUCAAGUCACUUCCUCGUUUCCUCCAUAGGGCCAUAGCCAGAGCAGCAGAUGGCACACGAUUUAGCUAGCGCUGGAAAUGACACUUCCGUAAUUAAUGUGUAGUGUUAAUAUAUCUGAUGUUGGCUGCUGAUAUUGCUGUGUUCGUUGGGAUCUGGAUCUGAAGAUGUACAUGCGUCCCGGUUGUAGCUGCCUCUUGUUCAUGCAACUCAGGGAAUUCCUUUUUCAACUUUGAAGCAUCCAUCUCAUUGAGGAUAAGGAGGAAUGAAGAAUGAAGGCAGAAUUGUAUUUUGGUUGGCAAGGUUGACAUUUUUGCAAGUUGUUUGAACUUUGAAGCUGCAGAAAUUGAAGCACUGUUAGCUGGAGCAAUUGUAUUUUGGAUGUCUCCUCCAAUUGUUCUAGAUUUUAUUUCCAAAUUUCCAUUUCCAUAGUUCUAGAUUUUUUAAAAUAUACUGUUGUGGUAUCACUGUCUGUCUGUUCAACCUUACGUUGAUCUUAGCUAUAAAAAAAAUAGAACCUUUAUUAACAUCAGUGAUUCUAAGUGUCUUUGCAAACAGGAAUAGUUAAACAAACAGUUGUACUGACAAAUAGUGGUACUGCAGAAACAAAAAAGCAUCAGGCU
Molecule: non-coding RNA, 899 nt
Organism: Nicotiana tabacum (common tobacco)
Lineage: Eukaryota; Viridiplantae; Streptophyta; Magnoliopsida; Solanales; Solanaceae
Source: RefSeq, a predicted model, not a curated record